This is a long non-coding RNA of Triticum dicoccoides, 500 nucleotides long. RefSeq lists it as uncharacterized. The transcript is spliced from 3 exons. The record is from RefSeq and is a predicted model, not a curated record. Lineage: Eukaryota; Viridiplantae; Streptophyta; Magnoliopsida; Poales; Poaceae.
UGAGGUACACAGUUGAAGGAGACGGUAUGCCAUAACAUUUGAAGCAAUUAGUUAGGGAAGGAGAUCAUAUCGUGCCACCUGAUAAGAUCUGAUGAAUCUUUGUAGAUUGGUGACCUGGAGCAUGAACUAGAGGAAACAAGAAGGAAGUGCUCUCAGCUCGCAGCUGAGCUGCAGUUGCGGAGGAGCCAGCAACAACAUUACAUGUGAAGGUUAUUUUUACUACUUCUGACAGGGCCUAAACUAUGGGAGCCAAACUCCUGGAAAUAUGUGGUUUCAUCAAAGCACAAAUACUGAACAGCGAUACGGAUAGUAUGGUUGCUCAUACGUAUACAAAUGAUCAAUGCAAUCGGUAUAGUUGCCCUCUUCAAGGGAGAUCUUCAGUGUGAAGUUACUCUGUUUUCUUUUCUUUUCUGUUCUUGUGUGGUGCUGGCCGCCACUGUUAGCUAUGGUGUGGUGUGGUUGCAGCACGUACAGUUCACUGUAAUAUACACUAUGUGUUA